RNAcentral lists this ribosomal RNA (253 nucleotides) under uncultured bacterium. RNAcentral describes it as "partial 16S ribosomal RNA". It matches the Rfam family "Bacterial small subunit ribosomal RNA", at positions 524 to 776 of the family's 1533-position model. The record is from RNAcentral.
UACGAAGGGUGCAAACGUUGCUCGGAAUUAUUGGGCGUAAAGCGCACGUAGGCGGCUUUGCAAGUCGGAUGUGAAAUCCCUCGGCUUAACCAAGGAAGUGCAUCCGAAACUGCAGAGCUUGAGUACUUAAGAGGAUCGCGGAAUUCCCGGUGUAGAGGUGAAAUGCGCAGAUAUCGGGAGGAACACCAAUGGCGAAGGCAGCUCGCUGGGACGUUACUGACGCUGAGACGCGAAAGCGUGGGGAGCAAACGGG